GGCAGCAUAAAAAUGUUCGAGAUAGAAAAACAAUGGAUGAAUAUUUGCUGGCAAUGUUUGUUUUGUUUUUGUUAUUUUGUGAUGGGUUACCAUGAAUUAUUUGAGACGUGGCAACACUGAUGGUUUACAAAUACUUCCUUUUUCCUACUUGAGAGGAGAAAAGGGAAUGCAGGAUGCCCUGAAUCAUCUAGUCCUAUCCACCCUUGCCACCCAACGGUCAAGGUGUCAAAUUUACACCCGUGCUUCUUUGAGAGGAAGCUUCAGCAGCUUUUCCACACGUGCUGCUUCCUUCCUGCAUGGUUUGGGAAAUGCUGAACCUAGUGCAGCCCAAAAAGCAUCUGCUGGUGCCCCUGCUCACUGCACAGCGCAGCUGUCGGCAUGCACAACAUCACCCUAA
This 397-nucleotide long non-coding RNA is filed under the name Anas platyrhynchos platyrhynchos (common mallard). RNAcentral's name for it is "lncRNA (ENSAPLG00000029912.1)". The record is from RNAcentral. Lineage: Eukaryota; Metazoa; Chordata; Aves; Anseriformes; Anatidae.